AUGAAAAUCAGUGUUGAUGCAGGCUUAUCUGACACAGGUACAACAGCAGCAGCAGCAGUAUGUCGGGAUAGUACAGGCUUGUACUUGGGCUCUUCGGCGCUGGCAUUUUCAGGAAUUACUGAUCCUGGAGUGGUUGAAGCCUUAGCUUGCCGCGAAGCACUUGCUUUAGCAGAAGACCUCUCGCUUCAGAACUUUGUGGUGGCAAGUGACUGCAAAACAGUAAUUGAUGACAUACAAAGAGGAGAGGGUGGAGCUUAUAUGACAGUCAUCAAGGAGAUCUCCAUGCGAAGAUCCUCUUUUAGUUCAUGUGUUUUUACUUUCGAAGGUAGAGCAUCGAACAUUGAUGCACACAAUCUUGCCAAACAUUCUUUGAUAUUUGAUCAGGGCCGCCACUUGUGGCUAAUUCACCCCCAUGACCCUUCAUGUAUCCCGCUUCAUACUUCAACCAGAUGA
Molecule: ribosomal RNA, 453 nt
Filed under: Triticum aestivum (bread wheat)
Lineage: Eukaryota; Viridiplantae; Streptophyta; Magnoliopsida; Poales; Poaceae
Description: partial small subunit ribosomal RNA
Source: RNAcentral